UCUACGGGCGGCAGCAGUGGGGAAUAUUGCGCAAUGGGCGAAAGCCUGACGCAGCGACGCCGCGUGAUGGAUGAAGGUCUUCGGAUCGUAAACCUCUGUCAGCAGGGAAGAACGGUCACUGUGCUAAUCAGCAGUGCAUUGACGGUACCUGCAAAGGAAGCACCGGCUAACUCCGUGCCAGCAGCCGCGGUAAUACGGAGGGUGCGAGCGUUAAUCGGAAUUACUGGGCGUAAAGCGCUCGUAGGCGGUAUGUCAAGUCAAGGGUGAAAUCCCCGGGCUCAACGUGGGAACUGCCUUUGAAACUGGCAAACUGGAGUGUGGGAGAGGAUAGUGGAAUUCCAGGUGUAGGAGUGAAAUCCGUAGAUAUCUGGAGGAACAUCAGUGGCGAAGGCGACUAUCUGGAACAUAACUGACGCUGAGGAGCGAAAGCGUGGGUAGCAAACAGGAUUAGAUACCCGAGUAGUC
This 465-nucleotide ribosomal RNA is filed under the name uncultured bacterium. Its description in RNAcentral is "partial 16S ribosomal RNA". It matches the Rfam family "Bacterial small subunit ribosomal RNA", at positions 338 to 795 of the family's 1533-position model. The record is from RNAcentral.